Molecule: microRNA precursor, 59 nt
Filed under: Ptychodera flava
Lineage: Eukaryota; Metazoa; Hemichordata; Enteropneusta; Ptychoderidae
Description: Pfl-Mir-190_pre stem-loop
Source: RNAcentral
UGAUAUGUUUGUUAUUUGGUUGGUGAUGUUACCAAUCAACCAGUAUCAGACAUAUAUCC